This is a long non-coding RNA of Lolium rigidum, 2466 nucleotides long. RefSeq lists it as uncharacterized. The record is from RefSeq and is a predicted model, not a curated record. The transcript has 7 exons. Lineage: Eukaryota; Viridiplantae; Streptophyta; Magnoliopsida; Poales; Poaceae.
CAUGUAGCAGUUUUGAUUCUUAUCUCAUGCGGAUUUUGCGAGGAGAUGCCGCCUUUCGUUGCGAUGUUGGGGGCUUUUACAGUGCUGCGGGUUGCUGCUCUGCAAUGAUGUUAGCGAUGGCGACACAAGCAAGAACACAGUCCCCAAAUGGUUUGCUCUUUAUUUGUGGACCAAUAUUACAAUAUACGACACGAGACAGGAGACUAGGUGCAUAACCUUUUAUCAAGAUACCAUCAGGACUGGCCGGGCAUGUUCUGAUUGAGUCAUGGAAUAUGUAACAACAAUGCCUUUGACAUUGGCAAUCUCUGUGUCAGCUGUAUCUGAUCUUUCUCAACUUCAGGCUAUGUUUUUCAAUAUAGGCCUAUUAUAUGUGUGGUCUCCUUGUAUUUGGAUGAUAUACAAAUUGGUUCCAGUUCGAGGUUUCCAGCGAUUGUCAGGGCAUCGACUGCGUAGUAUCUAACAGGGACGCUCCAACUGCGUCAGGUUGUUGCUAGCGGGGAAUGGAAAGGUGAAGACAAGAUCUCCACGACACCGUAUCCUGCUGCCAAGUUCUUUGAUUGGUUUGCGACUGCACAUGCCAGAGAUCAAGAAUAAGGUGGGUAGCACAACUCAUUUGGUGUUUGAUGGAAUGUCUCAUUGGGAUAUGUGAUUUUGUUCUAUAAGCUGUAGUAAUCACACACUAAAUACUGGUUAUAUAGUCAAAAGUAAAUUUAUAAUUAAUUUGUUGUGCACGUUCAAUAGUUGAUGUUGUUCUUAGAGCUGUGUUUUUCAUCUGUGUGCAGCUCUGUACUAGACAUGUGAAUGGGAUAUCUUUUUCUUGCAGGAAUUAUGGGUUCACAAGACCAUAAGUUUACUAUUGUUGGUGAAAUAGUAUCCCUCGGUUACUUUCAUAGUUUCAUGCUUAGGGGUUCGAUCCUCUGCGGGGAUGCUUAUAUAUACUUUGAACCUUCCGCUACACCUGGUUUUUCCGAAAUUCUAUCAUCUUUGCGGGAAGAUAUGGAAGUAUCAUUCAUAUUUUAAAUCAUUUUCUUCUAUGACUGCUCAGGGUGUUUAAAGCUAAAUUACUUGCGCUUGUAUUGUAUUUAACCACUCAACAAUAUAUUUGCUCCAAUAACUUUUCCCGAAAGCUGAUUUCUCAUUAUCUCCAUUUCCCAAUUCCUUCUGGUGCUCAUGCCGAUUGCUGGAAGAAUCCUAAUGGUAUAGACUAUAUACUCUGCUCCUCUGCUAAGGUUAAUCCACUGGGUAUGUUGCGAAGAUAGUUUCAUCUUCCCAUAAUGUUUGGUGAUCAAUUUUAACGUGCAUCAUAUGAGGAAGCAUUGACAAGGCUUUUUUUUAAUGUUGGUAUAUUGCUGCAAUCAUUAAAAUAGCAAUCCUUGUUACCUUAGUAUCUACAGCCUUGGUUCUAUAUUAAAUGUUGCAGAUUUGUCAAGAUUUGCAUGUGUCUACACACUGAAACGCGUUUGGAUACAUGCUUAUCUAGACAAAUCUGUGAACCAAGGUAGUAAUAGUUAUUGGGGAAGCUGUAAAGAUCACCUGUUUGCUAUAGAAAAGAUAUUCAGUUAUUAGAUCAUUUCUUCCCCUAAAAGCAUAACUAUGUUUACAAUCUCUGUUGAGAAUCAUUCCCUAGCUCAUGGUCUGCCAAAGUGUUGAUGCAAAUAUAAGUAAACCUGCACAAAUUUGUUAUUAGGCCGACAUAGCCGACUAAAAGUCUUGAGAAGUUUAUGAACGCAGAACUUGAUAAAACUUAACAAGUUUGCAUCGCACAACUAUAUGAAACUGUUCACUGAAGAACAACUAAUCUUUCUCCACACAGGAUAAUGUGCAUUAAAUAUAUACUUAUUCAUUUACGGAAUAGUAAAAGAGACCGCAAUAAUAAAAAGAACAUGUAGUUCAGGCUAGAUUUUCAAUGCAAAAUUGGGACGAGACCUUCUGUUUCUUUUGAAUAACUGCAUUUCCGCCAUACUAUUUGUUUGCCAUCGAAAUGGAGCAUGUUUGCUGGGCAUCUCUCCAUGUUAAUUCACAUAGGCAUAGUUUAUUAGAUUAAAUUUGCAGAUGUAGCAUUUUUUUAGCAUAAAUGGAUUCAUGAGCCCUUCAAUAGUCAUUCUUUGCGCUUGUUAAUGAAAUGAUCAUGUAGAUAUUGAUGGCAAUGAAUUAAGGGCAAUCAGUUUUUCUGCUUUGCUAAGCCGAAAUUGCAGUCAGUAUCUUGAUAAUGUAUCUCAAUUCCUAAAUCCUUGUUGUUCCUUUUCUAGGAAUUUGAAAAUAUUACUGCAGAUGGAUAGGUAAAUUUCAUGUUCCAUCUAGAAUGCUCGUCGCUGCUGACACCAGAAUGCCAAUUCUAUGGAGAAACAACAGAGGAUUGCUAGAUGACAAGAACCCUUCCGUGCUGAUGCACUACAUCACCCCUGUCCUGAUGUUCCAGCUCUACAAGCUUUGCUGCUGAACUCUGUGUGCUCUGUGUGUGCUCAU